Molecule: ribosomal RNA, 207 nt
Filed under: uncultured bacterium
Lineage: Bacteria
Description: partial 16S ribosomal RNA
Rfam family: Bacterial small subunit ribosomal RNA
Source: RNAcentral
CGCGUAGGCGGUUUGUUAAGUCAGAUGUGAAAGCCCAAGGCUCAACCUUGGACGUGCAUUUGAAACUGGCAGACUUGAGUACUGGAGGGGAUGGUGGAAUUCCCGGUGUAGAGGUGAAAUUCGUAGAUAUCGGGAGGAAUACCGGUGGCGAAGGCGACCAUCUGGCCAGGUACUGACGCUGAGGUGCGAAAGCAUGGGGAGCAAACA